This 224-nucleotide non-coding RNA is filed under the name Luteimonas sp. The record is from RNAcentral. RNAcentral also lists the same sequence under 1 other name. Lineage: Bacteria; Pseudomonadati; Pseudomonadota; Gammaproteobacteria; Lysobacterales; Lysobacteraceae.
CGAUAUGUUGUGCCUGUCGGUUCUGGCGGGCGCUACCCGCCGGAUGAAAAGGGAAGCCGGUGAAGCCCCAUGGGCCAUUCCGGCGCUGCCCCGCAGCGGUAAUUGGGAACGACCCCGCCACACAGCACUGGAGCCGCCACGGCACCGGGAAGCGGCGGGCAAGGUGGAGGCCAGGCGCCUCCGUGCCCAUGAGCCCGAAGACCUGCCGACAGCCGCGCGCAAGC